RNAcentral lists this ribosomal RNA (115 nucleotides) under Salvia splendens (bonfire salvia). Lineage: Eukaryota; Viridiplantae; Streptophyta; Magnoliopsida; Lamiales; Lamiaceae. The record is from RNAcentral.
GCGUUCAUACCAGCACUAAUGCACCGGAUCCCAUCAGAACUCCGAAGUUAAGCGUGCUUGGGCGAGAAUAAUACUAGGAUGGGUGGCCCCCUGGGAAGUCCUCGUGUUGCACCCC